ACACCGUGCCCACCUUGUGUGAGUGCGUUUGAGAAGGCAUUCAGGUGUUUCGCGAAGAACCCAUCUGAAAAUGUGAUCACACCUGUUCUUAGCACUACUUUCGACUCUUUUGUCCAGGCGUAUGACUUCUACAACUUGUAUUCGUGAGAGAAGGGUUUUGGCAUCCGGUAUGGCAAGAGAUGGCUAAAUGUCGAGAGGACAGAGUGCAUGCAGGAGAUAGUUGGUGGGUGCUCGGUUAGUUAUUAA
Molecule: ribosomal RNA, 246 nt
Filed under: Triticum aestivum (bread wheat)
Lineage: Eukaryota; Viridiplantae; Streptophyta; Magnoliopsida; Poales; Poaceae
Description: partial small subunit ribosomal RNA
Source: RNAcentral